Molecule: signal recognition particle RNA, 97 nt
Filed under: Burkholderiales bacterium
Lineage: Bacteria; Pseudomonadati; Pseudomonadota; Betaproteobacteria; Burkholderiales
Description: signal recognition particle sRNA small type
Rfam family: Bacterial small signal recognition particle RNA
About the family: The signal recognition particle (SRP) is a universally conserved ribonucleoprotein involved in the co-translational targeting of proteins to membranes.
Source: RNAcentral
GACGGGCCUCCUCGCAUGGGAAGGUGCCCAACCGGGUCAGGUGGGGAACCAAGCAGCCCUUAGCGUCCGGACCAGUGCCGGGGUCAGGCUCGUCACC